AUACCAUGCUGAAUAUACCGGUUCUCGUUAAAUCACCGAAGUCAAGCAUCAUUGGGCGCGGUCAGUACUUGGGUGGGUGACCACCUGAGAACACCGCGUGCCGUU
RNAcentral lists this ribosomal RNA (105 nucleotides) under Caerostris darwini. The record is from RNAcentral. Lineage: Eukaryota; Metazoa; Arthropoda; Arachnida; Araneae; Araneidae.